This is a non-coding RNA of Nothobranchius furzeri (turquoise killifish), 4245 nucleotides long. Lineage: Eukaryota; Metazoa; Chordata; Actinopteri; Cyprinodontiformes; Nothobranchiidae. The record is from RefSeq and is a predicted model, not a curated record.
UUGAGGAACCUUUUUCAACAGUAUUUGAACUAAAUGAUCCUGACAAACACGUAUGAAAUCCAGUAGACACAUGUAAACUCCCACAAUCUGGAAAUAAAAUCCUCUUGGAUCAUCUCCCUAAUGCCAACAAGAAGUCAAGCCCAUGCAAUUGUUGCUACAACUCUGAUUAUGGAUGAAAGCUUAAAACCUUAAAGCCUCUGAAGAGUUCCUGAAAUCUGUCUUUUAUUAAAGAGCAAGCAACGUCUAAAUUAACUUUUUUUUUGCUGAUGAACUGUAUAAAUGAGUGUCUAAUAGUGUUUUAAAUGUGUGUAUUCAUUAUUUUAGCAUUUUGGUGCAUUUUCUUUAAAAAUUAAAAAUUCUGCCUAAAUACCACAGUAUAGCGCCACCUUCAGCUUAAAACAUAGAAUUUGACUCAUUUUGAAUAAAUUUUAGCCAAUGGCUAAAGAGUAAGAUACUACGUAAACCAGUAGAGUACUACGUAGCAGCUCUGUGUCAAAGUUAUAAAAGCAACGAGCGUCUCGGCCACGCCUUAAGGCGAGUUGGGAGUUGGAUUUGCAAGCGAGUGUAGGAGGUUAGCCGUAGUUCAGCAUUAGCAUAUAGCAUUAGCAUAUCCUAGUCUUUAGCGUAGCCUUUAGUGUUAUACAUACUUAUUUAGUGUUAGUUUGGCUGUUGGAUAGUGUAGUUUAGUUAGUGUUUGGCUGUUAGUGUUAUUAGGAAAGUAGUUCAGGUUUAGUGCUCCAUAUCGUGUUAGUAUGCUGUGAGAAGGUGUAGUGUCGUAUGGUUGCGGUGGCUCUGUGGGGUUGUAUUCAUUUCCGCUGGACUUAGAAAUUAGGCGCCAGUGGUUGCGCGCAAUCGGUGUCUGGAAAACAUUCAGCUCCUGCCUGGUGCUGUAGUUUGCAACCAGCAUUUUACCCGCGAUUCUGCACGUCUCCGUUUGAAGAGGGAGGCAAUGCCCACCAUGGCUCUUCCGCGAUUUAGAUGCAGCCCACCGACUCUGCUCCCCCACCAUGUCGGGCUCCAGUCUGAGGUGAGUAAGCUAAAUAAAAGUUAACAUCUUCUAAAGACAAUUUCCUACCUAAAUGCAAAGUUUGCGAGACGUGGUUCACUCCAUUUAGCUAAUAUCAGCCUGCACUGCCUUCGGGCAGAUUUGUCAAGUUCACAAAAUGUGGAACGGGAUGUUAGGUUAAAAUCAGCGGCGAAUCGGAACCGGAACAUAUCUCGAAGCCCUGGCUGACAAAACGGUCCACAUGACUGUCAGGCUCAGAGAAAAUUCGGGUUGUUUUUGUGUCAGUCGGUAAUUCUGCAACAGUGACUCUAACUAACGCAGCACUAGUUGACAGACAGCAUUACAGCGUGAAAUCCAGCACAGCGUGACCCGGUUCCGUGAGGAAUUCUGUUCAGGAGGUCGCAUUUCAGGCUCUCCACAUCAUAUGUGACUGCCUUUUACGUUAUAAUAACAUCACACACUAGGAAUGUUAUAAAGCGCCUAUAUAGGACAGUUUCUUUUGUAUAUUAUCUGACUUUAUAAACAUCAAUGUGCUUCUAUUUUUUUUUCAGGCUAAAUCUACCCAAGACACUGGCUGUCAGACUGAUUUAGUAGUCUGCAAGAAUGCACUUGUCCAGGCUGACGUGAAGCGUUACCCGUAGCAAAGAGCUCACAGCCUCAGUGUGUCUUGUGACACAGGGACCAUGACGGAAAUUCAUCUUCCAGAAGGUCCCAGAGCAGCAUCCACACCCCUGACAAGACCAAGAUGUGAGGUGUCUGCUGUUGAUUCCAGCUUCCACCUCAGUGACAGUGCAAACUCAGUGAACUGUUCAAGGUAAAAAUAUUGAAACAUUUCUGAAUUUUUAAGAUAUUAACAAUUAAAUAAACGUAUGUGAUUACAUCAUGACAUCAUGAAGGAGGCUACUGAUUCUGGCCCUGUGACACUUGGUGGUGACGUGUGAGCUGAUUCACCUGGUAAAUAACUUUUACAUUAAAUAUUUUGUUCUUUGCUAUCAAAAGUAAAUUAACUAAUAACCUGCAUUAUUGCAGGACACUCAGCAAAAUAUGGACUCUACACCAUGAGGCAGGCACACAUUAAUACUCUAUAAGAGCACAUAAGCCUGGCUGAUCACCUGAUAACUCCUGUCAUCUGGUUAUGACAGCAUGAGGAUGUCCUCACACACGUGUAACCUAUCAGCUCAUCUGGCAGAAUAGAGAGAGAAGAGACAACACCACAUCUCCUGUUCCUGGAAAGCCUUCAGCCAUCCUUCGAUGACUGAGAUCCUCCAUCAGCUCUGACUCCUGUCUGCCUACAAUUAUUAUAAUAAAUAUUGUGUUUGACAAGUUUUUUGUGCUGCCAAAUAUCUCAUUUUGAUUCCAGUUUUGAUAUUUUAAUGGAUAUUUAUAAAUUACAUUAAUUGAAUUAUAACAUUGCAUGUUUAACUAGCUCUAUUGUGAUGAAUUAAACUAGCACCUCACUGUUAAAAGCUCGUUUUAAUUUCAAGCAUGUUUAAGUAUUUAUGGACAUGAACAAAAACAGGAAAUAUAUAAAUUGAGAUUUAUUUAAUUAAUAUAACAAAUAAGGGGGAAUGAGUCAUUGAAAGGCACAUUCUUCUGGAAGCUCCUGAUCCUGACGACACCAGAAGAGACCAGCUGCAGACACCUGCAACCAAGAGCAGCUAGUAUCAGUAAAUAAAUAAUGAAAUCAGGGCAGUUUUAGUGGGCUGAACACAUUACAGAAUAAUUUUCUCAUGGGAUAUUUUCAUAACUUUAUGCAGCAGACUGUAACUUGAGCCCAAGGCUCCUGGAGAGCUGCUAUCCAGCACGUUUCAGUGGGUUUUCCUGCUUUAACAGGUUAGAUUAGCUGUUAAGCAGCUCAGCUAUUUGUUGCUGAUUAAAACCAGGUGUGUUGAAGCAGAUAAACCUCUAAAACAUGCUGAAUAAUAGCUCUCGGACCGUGGAGCAAAACCCUGCAGCUAAUCUGAUGCUAUGGCUAACGGCUACUUACCAUUCAGAGCUGGUUCUGUUGGGUCAAUUCCGGUAAUUUCAGGCAACUCACAAGCUCAAAACAAUAAGGCUCAGGUCCGCUUGUCUCCUCCAAAUAGACUUGGUCCCUUUCUUCUCGAGUGUCUGGGUAAGGAGGGGGAGAAACGUCCUCCACUUCUAAUGACUGCUCAGAGUGAAGGGAGCUAGCAUCGUCUAGUUAGCCAUCGUCUUCGUCACUGCCGCGGCUCCGCCCUCUCGGUCCUCCAGGGAACGCCUACUAAUGUUGCAUUUUUUAAAAUUGAUACGUGGGUGGAGUAAGACUCUGAGGGGGACAUUAUCACGUCUUUAAUAAGUCGUUUUUAAAGGAAUUAUAAAGUUACUGUGUGUAAAAAGAGAGAAGACAGAAAUAUCUGAGACAGAAUAUUUUGUUUAUGUUUUAGGUUUCCAGCAAAAUAAUCUAAAAUUAAAUUUUAAACAAUUAAAUUUAAAAAAGCUUCUGGUUUAGUUUUUUGGAAGGGCUUUAUCUUCAUAUUGGGUAAAAAAUAAAUAAAUAAAACAAUUGUCAAUGUCCCCCACAAAUUGAAAACUGGGUAAAAGUAAUUUUGUUAUCUGCUAGGGAAAAAAACAACACUCACUAUGAUAAUUUAUGAGGUCAGGUGUACGUUUUAUUUUUUUACUUAAUUAAUCCUACAGUUGCUGUAAUUUCUCGCUCCACCAAAGAUGUGGACAAGGGCAUCUCUUAAUCUUUUCUCUCUCGCUCGCUUUGUGGAACAAAUGUGCUAAAUUCAACCAAUUUUCCCUCAAUAAACUGCAUAAGACAGAUGGAGGGCUUUCAUGCAGUCAGCAAAUCAUGUUGGGCAAGAUUGAUGCUCUCUUGCUUUCUCACACAAACACUCACUCCAUCUUUGCUGCCGCUGGAUCAGUUUGUGUUUGAGUGCUCAUGCGGUCAACAGCAGGAGCUUCAAUUUGACAAUCCAGGCCUGCGCCUCCCUCCAAUCACAGUUACAAAAAAACAAGGAAAUAAAAAUGUUUCCUGAUUUUUGUGAAGAGGAAGGGUCUGUUUGAGCUCUAUAAUACACUUUGACUUAAAUUAUCUUGCUUUACAAUUGCUGCUGGGAGACAUUUUCCUUAAAAAAAAAUCUUUCCUCAUCUUUUUCAAAUUUGGAGCAACUGUCUAGUUUUUCCUAGUUAUUCCCUGAGAUUGCACUCUGUAGGUUUAGUUUUAUUUUUGUUUUGGUGAUGGUUCGUAAGUAAACCCUGAAGCCUUCCUUAUU